RNAcentral lists this ribosomal RNA (460 nucleotides) under uncultured bacterium. RNAcentral describes it as "bacterial SSU rRNA". It matches the Rfam family "Bacterial small subunit ribosomal RNA", at positions 343 to 794 of the family's 1533-position model. The record is from RNAcentral.
GGGAGGCAGCAGUGGGGAAUCUUGCGCAAUGGGCGAAAGCCUGACGCAGCAACGCCGCGUGGAGGAUGAAGGCCCUUGGGUUGUAAACUCCUGUCGGUUGGGAAGAAAUCGCGCGGUGCUCAUACCGCCGCGCGUUGACUGUACCAGCAAAGGAAGCCCCGGCUAACUCUGUGCCAGCAGCCGCGGUAAUACAGAGGGGGCCAGCGUUAUUCGGAAUUAUUGGGCGUAAAGGGCGCGUAGGCGGCCCCGCGUGUCUUCCGUGAAAUCCCUCGGCUCAACUGAGGACGUGCGGAAGAAACUGCGGGGCUCGAGUCCGGGAGAGGGGGGUGGAAUUCCCAGUGUAGCGGUGAAAUGCGUAGAUAUUGGGAGGAACACCGGUGGCGAAGGCGGCCCCCUGGACCGGUACUGACGCUGAGGCGCGAAAGCGUGGGGAGCAAACGGGAUUAGAUACCCCGGUAGG